CCCUUAGAUGUCCUGGGCCGCACGCGCGCCACACUGAGUGUCUGAGAUACGAGUCUGCCUAGCCGGCGAGGUCUAGGUAAUCGCUGAAAGACACAUCAUGCUUGGGAUAGAUUAUUGCAGAUAUUAAUCUUGAACGAGGAAUUCCUAGUAAGCGCAAGUCAACAGCUUGCGUUGAUUACGUCCCUGCCCUUUGUACACACCGCCCGUCGCUACUACCGAUUGAAUGGUUUAGUGAGAUCCUCGGAUCGGCGGCGUCGGGACGGCCCUGCCGUACCGUUCUGCAUUGUCCGAGAAGACGAUCAAACUUGAUCAUUUAGAGGAAGUAAAAGUCGUAACA
Molecule: ribosomal RNA, 337 nt
Filed under: uncultured eukaryote
Lineage: Eukaryota
Description: partial 18S ribosomal RNA
Rfam family: Eukaryotic small subunit ribosomal RNA
Source: RNAcentral